AUGUAAUUUGUUACAUAGCUAUAAUGAUUGUAACAUUUCCCUUCCUUAUAUCUCUUCUUCACUUUCCUACUGGUGUUUCCUGGGAUGGUUUUUAAUAUAAAUUAUAUGCUCUUGAAUUAUUUUUUAUUUUUAUUUUUUUUGAGACAGGGUCUCACUCCAGUUGCCCAGGCCGUGUGUGGCAUGAUCUCAUCUCACCGCAGCCUCAACCUCCGAAGCUCAGAAACACUGUUGUGAGUCGAGUCCCCUCCCUGUGCUGGGCACUAUGCUGGACAAUGCAGGCACAAGGUGGUGAUCUUGCCACCCUUCCCUCCAGGAAGGUCAGCACCCCUCCAGAGCAAGUGAAGAAGAAAGAUGGAAGGCAGUCUUUUUGUAACCCAAUCUCAGAAGUGACAUCCUAUCAUUGUUGCUGGAUUCUAUUAAUUAGAAGUGAGCCAAGUUCGCCCCACACUCGAGGAGAUUUGACAAAGGCAUGCAAACCAGGAGGUACAAUCUUAGGGCAGGAACCAUGGAAACAAGUGCGUUAACAGAUGUGUUUUUUUGGUGUGUGUGUAAGAUGUGUAAGUUUUUGUUGUUGAAUCAAUUGAUUCAGCAAUACGUAUUGAGAUGGAGUCUUGCCCUGUCACCCAGGCUGGAGUGCAGUGGUGCGAUCUUGGCCCACCGCAACAUCUGCCUCCUGGAUUCAAGUGAUUCCUCUGCCUCAGCCUCCUGAGUAGCUGGGACAACAAGUGUGUGCCACCACACCCAGCUAAUUUUUGUAGCUUUAGUAGAGACUAGAUUUCCUCAUGUUGGCCAGGCUGGUCUCGAACUCCUGACUUCAAGUGAUCCACCCUCCUCGGCCUCCCAAAGUGUUGGGAUUAUAGGCAUGAGCCACCAUACCCAACUGCAUUUUGACAAUAUUGUAUAAAACAACAUACAUAAAGCACUCAGCAAUGUUCAGUCACCUAGCAAGCACUUAAUGUGUGUUCCCUUCUCCUCUCACUGUGAAACAUAAGCUUCAAGUAAUCUCUCAUUAUUGUGAUAGCACUUCUCUAUAAUCUUCCCCUUUGUAAUCAAUUACUAAAAUGACCAUAUUAACUCUCUGAAGUUUUAGGUUAUACUUUUUAUCU
Molecule: long non-coding RNA, 1106 nt
Filed under: Papio anubis (olive baboon)
Lineage: Eukaryota; Metazoa; Chordata; Mammalia; Primates; Cercopithecidae
Description: lncRNA (ENSPANG00000042751.1)
Source: RNAcentral